GACAAACGCUGGCGGCGUGCCUAAUACAUGCAAGUCGAACGACGAAAGCCUUCGGGCAAGUAAGAGUGGCGCACGGGCGAGGAACACGUAGAUAAUCUGCCCUUCAGUGGGGAAUAACUCUCCGAAAGGAGUGCUAAUACCGCAUAAGACCACAAGCUCUGCGGAGCAAGGGGUUAAAGGAUUUAUUCGCUGAAGGAUGAGUCUGCGUCUGAUUAGCUAGUUGGUGAGGUAAUGGCUUACCAAGGCAAUGAUCGGUAGAUGGUCUGAGAGGAUGAUCAUCCGCACUGGAACUGAGACACGGUCCAGACUCCUACGGGAGGCAGCAGUAGGGAAUAUUGCACAAUGGGGGAAACCCUGAUGCAGCAACGCCGCGUGAGUGAUGAAGGCUCUAGGGUCGUAAAGCUCUGUCGUAUGGGAAGAAGAAAAUGACGGUACCAUACAAGAAAGGACCGGCCAACUUCGUGCCAGCCGCCGCGGUAA
This 480-nucleotide ribosomal RNA is filed under the name uncultured bacterium. Its description in RNAcentral is "partial 16S ribosomal RNA". It matches the Rfam family "Bacterial small subunit ribosomal RNA", at positions 28 to 523 of the family's 1533-position model. The record is from RNAcentral.